UUCGCAAUGCCCGAAAGGGUGACGAAGCGACGCCGCGUGUGGGAAGAAGGCCUUCGGGUUGUAAACCACUGUUGGGAGUUAGGAAGUGUGGAAGUGUUAAUAGCGCUUUCACUUGACUAAAGCUCCAGAGGAAGCCACGGCUAACUCUGUGCCAGCAGCCGCGGUAAUACAGAGGCGGCAAGCGUUGUUCGGAAUUAUUGGGCGUAAAGAGCACGUAGGCGGCUCUGCAAGUCAGCUGUGAAAGCCUUCUGCUUAACGGAAGAACGGCAGUUGAAACUACAGGGCUUGAGUGCGGGAGGGGAGAGUGGAACUUCUGGUGGAGCGGUGAAAUGCGUAGAUAUCAGGAGGAACGCCGGCGGCGAAAGCGACUCUCUGGCCCGUAACUGACGCUGAGUGUGCGAAAGCUAGGGGAGCAAACGGGAUUAGAUACCCCGGUAGUCCUAGCCGUAAACGAUGGGCACUAAGUAGAGGGGUUUU
This 477-nucleotide ribosomal RNA is filed under the name uncultured anaerobic ammonium-oxidizing bacterium. RNAcentral's name for it is "bacterial SSU rRNA". It matches the Rfam family "Bacterial small subunit ribosomal RNA", at positions 365 to 832 of the family's 1533-position model. The record is from RNAcentral.